Molecule: ribosomal RNA, 1045 nt
Filed under: uncultured Methanimicrococcus sp.
Lineage: Archaea; Methanobacteriati; Methanobacteriota; Methanomicrobia; Methanosarcinales; Methanosarcinaceae
Description: bacterial SSU rRNA
Rfam family: Archaeal small subunit ribosomal RNA
Source: RNAcentral
CUGGUUGAUCCUGCCGGAGGUUACUGCUAUCGGUGUUUGAUUAAGCCAUGCGAGUCAAAUGUUUUUCGUAAACAUGGCGCAAUGCUCAGUAACACGUGGAUAACCUGCCCUUUGGUCCGGCAUAACCUCGGGAAACUGAGGAUAAUUCCGGAUAACUCUUUUUGGCCGGAAAGCAUUAAGAGUAAAAGAACUUCGCCAAAGGAUGGGUCUGCGGCCUAUCAGGUAGUAGUGGGUGUAACGUACCCUCUAGCCGACAACGGGUACGGGUUGUGAGAGCAAGAGCCCGGAGAUGGAUUCUGAGACAUGAAUCCAGGCCCUACGGGGCGCAGCAGGCGCGAAAACUUUACAAUGCAGGAAACUGUGAUAAGGAAACACCGAGUGCUCACAUCAAAUGUGGGCUGUCCACAUGCUUAAAUCGCAUGUGUUAGCAAGGGCCGGGCAAUACCGGUGCCAGCCGCCGCGGUAAUACCGGUGGCCCGAGUGGUAGCCGCUUUUAUUUGGUCUAAAGGGUCCGUAGCCGGUUCGGGCAGUCUAUUGGUAAAUUCGAAUGCCCAACAUUCGAUCUUUCAGUGGAUACUUCCGGACUAGGAACCGGGAGAGGUAAGAGGUACUGUAGGGGUAGGAGUGAAAUCUUGUAAUCCCUAUGAGACCACCUGUGGCGAAGGCGUCUUACCGGAACGGGUUCGACGGUGAGGGACGAAAGCCGGGGGCACGAACCGGAUUAGAUACCCGGGUAGUCCCGGCCGUAAACAAUGCUCGCUAGGUGUCGGGUAUGGCGUGACCGUAUCCGGUGCCGUAGGGAAGCCGUGAAGCGAGCCACCUGGGGAAGUACGGCCGCAAGGCUGAAACUUAAAGGAAUUGGCGGGGGAGCACAACAACGGGUGGAGCCUGCGGUUUAAUUGGACUCAACGCCGGAAAACUCACCAGGGGAGACAGCAAUAUGUAGGUCAAGCUGAAGACUUUACCUGAAUCGCUGAGAGGAGGUGCAUGGUCGUCGCCAGUUCGUACUGUGAAGCAUCCUGUUAAGUCAGGCAACGAGCGAGAC